This 285-nucleotide ribosomal RNA is filed under the name Vibrio sp. 1Bb1S6. RNAcentral's name for it is "partial 16S ribosomal RNA". It matches the Rfam family "Bacterial small subunit ribosomal RNA", at positions 481 to 765 of the family's 1533-position model. RNAcentral also lists the same sequence under 1 other name. Lineage: Bacteria; Pseudomonadati; Pseudomonadota; Gammaproteobacteria; Vibrionales; Vibrionaceae. The record is from RNAcentral.
GCAGAAGAAGCACCGGCUAACUCCGUGCCAGCAGCCGCGGUAAUACGGAGGGUGCGAGCCUUAAUCGGAAUUACUGGGCGUAAAGCGCAUGCAGGCGGUUUGUUAAGCCAGAUGUGAAAGCCCGGGGCUCAACCUCGGAAUUGCAUUUGAAACUGGCAGACUAGAGUACUGUAGAGGGGGGUAGAAUUUCAGGUGUAGCGGUGAAAUGCGUAGAGAUCUGAAGGGGUACCGGUGGCGAAGGCGGCCCCCUGGACAGAUACUGACACUCAUAUGCGAAAGCGUGGG